RNAcentral lists this unclassified non-coding RNA (157 nucleotides) under uncultured Cryptococcus. RNAcentral's name for it is "sequence contains ITS2". Lineage: Eukaryota; Fungi; Basidiomycota; Tremellomycetes. The record is from RNAcentral.
AAUAUCAACUCCCUCGGGUUUCCGAGUGAGCUUGGAUUUGGGCGCUGCCGUCAUUGGCUCGCCUUAAAGAACUCUGUGGAUGUCUCCCGCGUCAAUGUAAUAAGUUUCAUUGGCAAAGUUCUUUGUCUGCAUACAACCGCCGCAAGGCAAUCUUAUU